CCUACGGUGGCAGCAGUGGGGAAUAUUGGACAAUGGGGGGAACCCUGAUCCAGCCAUGCCGCGUGCAGGAAGACGGCUCUAUGAGUUGUAAACUGCUUUUGUACGAGGGUAAACGCAGAUACGCGUAUCUGUCUGAAAGUAUCGUACGAAUAAGGAUCGGCUAACUCCGUGCCAGCAGCCGCGGUAAUACGGAGGAUUCAAGCGUUAUCCGGAUUUAUUGGGUUUAAAGGGUGCGUAGGCGGUCGGAUAAGUUAGAGGUGAAAUCCCGAGGCUCAACUUCGGAAUUGCCUCUGAUACUGUUCGGCUAGAGAGUAGUUGCGGUAGGCGGAAUGUAUGGUGUAGCGGUGAAAUGCUUAGAGAUCAUACAGAACACCGAUUGCGAAGGCAGCUUACCAAGCUACUUCUGACGUUGAGGCACGAAAGCGUGGGGAGCAAACAGGAUUAGAUACCCGAGUAGUC
This 459-nucleotide ribosomal RNA is filed under the name uncultured bacterium. RNAcentral describes it as "partial 16S ribosomal RNA". It matches the Rfam family "Bacterial small subunit ribosomal RNA", at positions 338 to 795 of the family's 1533-position model. The record is from RNAcentral.